RNAcentral lists this ribosomal RNA (434 nucleotides) under uncultured Christensenellaceae bacterium. RNAcentral's name for it is "bacterial SSU rRNA". It matches the Rfam family "Bacterial small subunit ribosomal RNA", at positions 341 to 792 of the family's 1533-position model. The record is from RNAcentral. Lineage: Bacteria; Bacillati; Bacillota; Clostridia; Christensenellales; Christensenellaceae.
ACGGGAGGCAGCAGUGGGGAAUAUUGGGCAAUGGGCGAAAGCCUGACCCAGCAACGCCGCGUGAAGGAAGAAGGUUUUCGGAUCGUAAACUUCUAUCCUUGGUGAAGAUAAUGACGGUAGCCAAGAAGGAAGCCCCGGCUAACUACGUGCCAGCAGCCGCGGUAAUACGUAGGGGGCAAGCGUUGUCCGGAAUGAUUGGGCGUAAAGGGCGCGUAGGCGGCCAACUAAGUCUGGAGUGAAAGUCCUGCUUUUAAGGUGGGAAUUGCUUUGGAAACUGGAUGGCUUGAGUGCAGGAGAGGUAAGCGGAAUUCCCGGUGUAGCGGUGAAAUGCGUAGAGAUCGGGAGGAACACCAGUGGCGAAGGCGGCUUACUGGACUGUAACUGACGCUGAGGCGCGAAAGUGUGGGGAGCAAACAGGAUUAGAUACCCUGGUA